CAGCAGCCACGGUAAUACGUAGGUGGCAAGCGUUGUCCGGAAUUAUUGGGCGUAAAGCGCGCGCAGGCGGAUCAGUCAGUCUGUCUUAAAAGUUCGGGGCUUAACCCCGUGAGGGGAUGGAAACUGCUGAUCUAGAGUAUCGGAGAGGAAAGUGGAAUUCCUAGUGUAGCGGUGAAAUGCGUAGAUAUUAGGAAGAACACCAGUGGCGAAGGCGACUUUCUGGACGAAAACUGACGCUGAGGCGCGAAAGCCAGGGGAGCGAACGGGAUUAGAUACCCCAGUAGUCCCUGUCUCUUAUACA
RNAcentral lists this ribosomal RNA (301 nucleotides) under uncultured bacterium. Its description in RNAcentral is "partial 16S ribosomal RNA". It matches the Rfam family "Bacterial small subunit ribosomal RNA", at positions 509 to 809 of the family's 1533-position model. The record is from RNAcentral.